GACGAACGCUGGCGGCGUGCCUAAUACAUGCAAGUCGAACGCUUUUUCUUUCACCGGAGCUUGCUCCACCGAAAGAAAAGGAGUGGCGAACGGGUGAGUAACACGUGGGUAACCUGCCCAUCAGAAGGGGAUAACACUUGGAAACAGGUGCUAAUACCGUAUAACAAUAGAAACCGCAUGGUUUCUAUUUGAAAGGCGCUUUUGCGUCACUGAUGGAUGGACCCGCGGUGCAUUAGCUAGUUGGUGAGGUAACGGCUCACCAAGGCGACGAUGCAUAGCCGACCUGAGAGGGUGAUCGGGCACAUUGGGACUGAGACACGGCCCAAACUCCUACGGGAGGCAGCAGUAGGGAAUCUUCGGCAAUGGACGAAAGUCUGACCGAGCAACGCCGCGUGAGUGAAGAAGGUUUUCGGAUCGUAAAACUCUGUUGUUAGAGAAGAACAAGGAUGAGAGUAAAAUGUUCAUCCCUUGACGGUAUCUAACCAGAAAGCCACGGCUAACUACGUGUCAGCCGCCGCCGUAA
This 523-nucleotide ribosomal RNA is filed under the name uncultured bacterium. RNAcentral describes it as "partial 16S ribosomal RNA". It matches the Rfam family "Bacterial small subunit ribosomal RNA", at positions 28 to 523 of the family's 1533-position model. The record is from RNAcentral.